Molecule: ribosomal RNA, 365 nt
Filed under: Bacillus sp. CSeA15_16
Lineage: Bacteria; Bacillati; Bacillota; Bacilli; Caryophanales; Bacillaceae
Description: bacterial SSU rRNA
Rfam family: Bacterial small subunit ribosomal RNA
Source: RNAcentral
GCAGUCGAGCGGACCGACGGGAGCUUGCUCCCUUAGGUCAGCGGCGGACGGGUGAGUAACACGUGGGUAACCUGCCUGUAAGACUGGGAUAACUUCCGGGAAACCGGGGCUAAUACCGGAAGCUUGAUUUGAACCGCAUGGUUCAAUCAUGAAAGGCGGCUUCGGCUUGCCGUUUACAGAUGGACCCGCGGCGCAUUAGCUAGUUGGUGAGGUAACGGCUCACCAAGGCGACGAUGCGUAGCCGACCUGAGAGGGUGAUCGGCCACACUGGGACCUAAGACACGGCCCAGACUCCUACGGGAGGCAGCAGUAGGGAAUCUUCCGCAAUGGACGAGAGUCUGACGGAGCAACGCCGCGUGAGUGAU